CGUAAACUAUCGCUGAGUUCCAAUGGAAGCGGAGGACCCAGUUUCCUGGGGUGAAUCGCAUAUGCGUAGGGGAGCCUGCCCCCGAACCCGUCAGCUAACUCCGUAAGCGUGUAGGAUUUUGUAA
This 124-nucleotide small RNA is filed under the name Alicyclobacillus sp. RNAcentral describes it as "c-di-AMP sequence". It matches the Rfam family "c-di-AMP riboswitch aptamer (ydaO/yuaA leader)". Rfam says of the family: This family represents a conserved RNA structure found upstream of the ydaO and yuaA genes in Bacillus subtilis and related genes in other bacteria. The ydaO/yuaA element is thought to act as a genetic "off" switch for the ydaO and yuaA genes in its native state. Lineage: Bacteria; Bacillati; Bacillota; Bacilli; Caryophanales; Alicyclobacillaceae. The record is from RNAcentral.